Columba livia (rock pigeon) is the source of this 915-nucleotide long non-coding RNA. RefSeq lists it as uncharacterized. The transcript has 3 exons. The record is from RefSeq and is a predicted model, not a curated record. Lineage: Eukaryota; Metazoa; Chordata; Aves; Columbiformes; Columbidae.
GUAGCGUCCAGCAGAAGUCCAUCAAACGUCAGGACCUGCAUUUCUGGCUGGACCUCAAUAACCACUGCAAUGUCACCAGCUCUCCUUGGACCAGCAAAUGAACCCCAGACUACAUAUGGCAGGGUAUGAGCAGAAAGUCCUUGUGAAGCAACUCAGACAAUGCUGGAGCACAUAUGGAAAGAAAGCCUGGAGCUGUGUGCAGAAGAGGCAUGGAAAAUCAGAGGACGUUUUCCAAGAUUAGAUAGAAGCUGGUGGAGCAACACGUUAUUAACCUUGGGUGUGCCUCCCUGCUUUAGGCUCUCCUUGUCCAAGCUGGAGGUGCCGUUCUGUCUGAUCACGUCUCCCCUUUGUUCAUGCCUUGCCCCUUGACAGAAAAGCUGCUUCUUUCACUGGCUCGCAAAAGUGAGAUAAAAUUACACACGGGUUGCAGACAACUGGGAACACAGAGGGUGCUGCUGUAAACUGCUGGCUCCCUUUGGCAGGAAGCAAAUAUUUUGUACUUCCCAACAUGGCAUUGAUGCCUCCACCUGAAAACAGUAUUAGAGUUAAAAAAAAUUAAAAACUUUGUGCUGACCUGCACCAGGCCAGUAUGCCCCAGGCUGUUGGAAGGAGGUGGCCAAAGCUGCUAAAUGUGAGAGAUUUGCUGGGAAAAGAUGCUCUCAGCAGAGACACAUCCCUCAGCACACCUUGCUUCCCACAGCAAGACCUUGCAGACCUGACCAUCCCUGGACAUUUUUCUGUACAUUUCUAAAGCCUUUUUGCUUUUCUGUGUUAAGACUGCAGCCCAUUCCCAUGCAGAAAAUAAGGCAAAUAAAAUACUCAUGUGCCAUUUGACUGCAGCAUGUGGCCUGUCCCAGCAGCAACAGCUCAUCCCCACUGCCUGGGGAUAAGGGGAUGACGUGGAGAUGUUGCAUC